Long non-coding RNA from Pezoporus flaviventris, 1136 nucleotides. RefSeq lists it as uncharacterized. Lineage: Eukaryota; Metazoa; Chordata; Aves; Psittaciformes; Psittacidae. The record is from RefSeq and is a predicted model, not a curated record. The transcript has 4 exons.
CAUACUUCAGUGUCUUGUCAAUCCUAAUAGCCAGUGAAGUCAGCUACAAAACCCAAAUACCUUUAGAAUUACCAGUUCUGGCAAAUUCAGUGGGAAUUUGAAUGUCUUGCUGGGCCCUUUCAUUGUAGCAAAUCUGCAAGCAGACCUUCACUACUUCUGUUGACAUGACGUGAGCAAAAAGCAAAUUCAAACUGCUCCAUUUUCCAGAGCCUUACUCCUUUGGAAUGCUAGGAUAUAAGCUCAAAACAUACUUGGGUGCUGUUCUCAAUUCACCUGGAAAGCCCAUCCAACCAAGGGGUGCCACUUCUUCCUACUUGCCACAGUAAGUCAAGGUAGAAUUAAAGGUUUACUUUAUCUUUAAAACCACAACAAGCAGCAUUCAAAAUGGAUACCCAUCUCCCACAGCCAGUGUCCACCCCAGGCACCCCUCCAGCUGAUGUAAGAGCAGAAUGGAGAAAAUCAGUCCUUCCACAGAGUUCACAUGGCAGAAGUAUUCUACAUGGCUUCAGUUGCCAGAGAUUUACCAGCUGUAUGGUUGUACACUUACAUCCUGAGUGCCAGAAUGGACUGUAUCUCUUCUAACUGGAUCAAAACAGAGAGGAAAUAUGAUCAUAAAGCUACUUCAAAGAACAUGUUCCCAAAGGUGAGAGCAAACAGCACAUUUUCAUUUCAGCAGCCUGCUCUGUAACAACUCUGUGGCUUCAUGUGAAAAUAAACAUAGCAGAAGAUAGACAAAACCUGCAUUGUGCACUCUAUCUGGUAAGCAAUGUCUUUGGCUCUCUGGUGCUGCCAGGGAGCAGCUUUUGAACUGCUCUGAAGAAAAUACCUCUGGCAUUUCUUGUACCAUCAGUAGGAAUCCCUUACCUUGAGUAAACUAAGUAAGUACAUAGAAAAGUUAUAAACCUCACCCAGUAGUAGAAUGAGCACACACAAGGUUAUAAACAACUGAUCUCCAGAAAGGGGCUGAUUCUGAUGUUAAAUACACAGGUGAAGGAUCUUCCCAAAGGAUAUUUUCUAGUAAUUAAAAGUUAUGUUCAGUACUAAAGAAAAAGGGCACUUGGGGGGGGAAAGAAGGAAGAUGGUUGACUGGAAGGCAGGAGCUGAAUGCUAACACUGGGAUAAGACUCAGUGAAUCC